GGUACAUACAGGUAUUCUGGGAAAUAGAGUCCUCAGAGGGUCACGUGAAUUUCUGUUGGAAGCAAGCCAGCAGGGACAAGAGGUUGAAAGAAAUACCUGCAGCUUCAGCAUCAAGCGUGUUAAAGAUGAGCCAGUCUUUUGUGUGCUGUACCGUGAAAGGGAUAGAAGACACAGCAUUGCCUUUGUGGUUUCCAACACGCAGAGUGAAGGGACCAUCUGAUAGAAGACAGCUGAGAAGUAAAGACUGGGAGAGGAGGAGCAAACAGCUGCUCUGUGUUUGAAGUUCAAGGGAUGCGCUUGUUAGCAUUGGAGAACACAAGGACGUGACUUGUCGGCCGGAUCUGUGGGGUGCCUGAGGAUAAAAGGCACUUGAAAGGGUGGUGGCUGAAGGCACUGGCCAGCUGGGUUGUUUUGAUGCUGGCCAAUUGCAGUAUGUUGCUGUAGCCAUCCAGAAGGGCAUGUGAGAGGGUAAUCCCUACUGCUCAGCUUUGUGCAAUUUACUAGUUUAAAUUAAGAAGCCAGUCUGCUAUGUGCAAAACCAUUGAAAGACCACAAAAAGACAACGAGGUGAUUCAAAGCAGAAACCUAAAUCAGAUCCUUUGAAUCUUGGUGGGAAAGAGAGUUUUUCUGUUCAGGCUAAGUAGAAGGGGCCUAGGAAAGUUUGAUAGCUAAUGAAGGCCCCCAGGUUUAGUACAUACAUUCAAAUGCCUCCACGGUUCUCUCUUAAUCAUGAGUGAUCUGACCUAAUUUUUAUUAUUCUGAAGAAUAUGGCAGUUUGGAUCUGGUGCUUAUGAGUAUUUUAAUCACUAUAUAAGAACACUACAGAAUGGGAAUGAAGUAAAUCAGAGGCAACAAAUUCUGUAAAUUUCGUUUUAUGCGAAACUCAUUCUUCAGCCUAGUUAAUUUACUAACUAGUCAUGUAAUGCCUGGAUGGCUGCUGUAAGGAUUUGGUAAAACCCUGUAAUGAAAAGGAUGGAGAGAAGGUGGCUGUGACUCAGGUUAUGUCAGAGAAAGAAAGACAAUGUGAGAGAAGCCUUGUGGUGUACUCUUAAAUACCCUUUGUAAGGUUCUCUUGUGCUACUGUAUGGAGGCAGAACUCACAGAAGUCCUUAAUAUCUGUGCAUGCAGUUCUACCAAUGACCUCUGAAGGAGGGGGAAAGGAAUCAGAGAGAGGAGUCAGAGCAAAGAUACUGUAAGCAGUGUCAAAAAGAAACAUCACCCCAAAGACCUAAAAUGGUCGCUGCCAGUUCCUAUUGAUGUUUCCUGGAUGAAUACUUUGGGACUAUGUCUAACAAAGAAGAAUAAAUGGGAGAACUGAGCUUGUUUUUCUACAGUGUAUUUAUCUGGAGCCUUUCUUGGAUAUAGCAGUGCUGUGGGCUUGCAGCUGCUGAAAUGAAGAUGAGUAGUGAACUGUUGAGCAAUGGUGAUCAGCCAUUGUAUGAGAACUUCAGGAAGGUCUUGCUGCGUGAAAGCUUGCCAUCUCUGAUCGUUUCCUAUCAGCUUAAUAUUGGACAACUGGAACACCUUAGACAUUUAUUGGACGUUUUGGAACACCUUGGAGGAAAGUCUAAUCUGAAAAAGAUGUUUACUGUAAUGUUAUGGGAGACAUCUCAGAGCCCAACACUUUGCUUUCUUUCUGUGCAGUUUCCAAAAUACACGGGUCUCUUAAAUGGCAUAUAUUUAUAUUCAUUAUUUCCUAGUGCUAAUGCUUUAACUUCAGAAGUACUGGAAGGCCUCUUUCGUCUUUGUAGAAGUACUUUCAUACAACAGAGUGCAGAGCUGAGGUGUUGCAUCCUGCAGACAUACUUUGAACCACAGCUGUGCUGGAAUGGAAAAUGGAGCUUGGUCAUGUUAAAUUGUAGGAGAUGGUUCCUUGUUAUUGUGUGUCUGAAUGCGUCGUGUUCUUUCCUGGAUUAUGAGACUCUUCACUAGAUGUUUGGGCAUAGGUAAGAAAUGCCAUAAACAAGAAGGCAAAAUGUCACAGCAAAGUGUCUGUUGGAGUUCAUAAAAUGAAGUCAGAAACAGAUUGCCUUCAUGUUGAAGGCAAGGCCUAUGGAAAUUAGUAUAAUGCAACUAUAAUAAUGCAAUGUAACAGGAACAUGUGGUUAUUAGUAGAAAUGGAUAGAAGACUAGUGCUGUCUCUAAACUAUUUUCAAGCAGAUCUGCCUUCAUUUCCUGGCUGCAUGACUGACAGAGCUGAUGAAUAUGGUGCCUGAGCUAGGGUGCAUGUUUUGUUUAUUCUCGCUUGCAGUCACUGGACAGUUUGGUUGCAACCCUACAGUCUUUUAAAAAACAGCAACAAAAAAGGGCUGUCACAACUGUUUGCAUCUGCACUUCGUCAUUGUGUCCCUCUCCAAGACCAACAGUCUUGUCCGUUGAGAAAUCCUCCAGGGAACAUUUCCUCUAAAACUCGUUGCAGUCCUCCACCAGAAUGAAUUUCCUGGAAUAAAGCUUCUUUGCUUGUUUCAAAA
Anas platyrhynchos (mallard) is the source of this 2471-nucleotide non-coding RNA. The record is from RefSeq and is a predicted model, not a curated record. Lineage: Eukaryota; Metazoa; Chordata; Aves; Anseriformes; Anatidae.